UACGUAGGGUGCAAGCGUUAAUCGGAAUUACUGGGCGUAAAGCGUGCGCAGGCGGUGAUGUAAGACAGUUGUGAAAUCCCCGGGCUCAACCUGGGAACUGCAUCUGUGACUGCAUCGCUGGAGUGCGGCAGAGGGGGAUGGAACUCCGCGUGUAGCAGUGAAAUGCGUAGAUAUGCGGAGGAACACCGAUGGCGAAGGCAAUCCCCUGGGCCUGCACUGACGCUCAUGCACGAAAGCGUGGGGAGCAAACAGG
This 253-nucleotide ribosomal RNA is filed under the name uncultured bacterium. RNAcentral's name for it is "partial 16S ribosomal RNA". It matches the Rfam family "Bacterial small subunit ribosomal RNA", at positions 524 to 776 of the family's 1533-position model. The record is from RNAcentral.